This 125-nucleotide unclassified non-coding RNA is filed under the name uncultured fungus. Its description in RNAcentral is "sequence contains ITS1". The record is from RNAcentral. Lineage: Eukaryota; Fungi.
AUCUUUUAUCAUAAUAUAUGAUUUAAAAAUUAUAAAAGUGUGGGUUUUAAAAAUACAAAAUUUCGCGAGACCAUGAAGGCACGCUAAAAUCGGUAAUGAUCCUUCCGCAGGUUCACCUACGGAAA